CCUCUUCCUCUAAUUCAUCUGCUUCUUCAGCCAUGAAUGCUUCACCCAUUCUUACAUCUCUUGGUCAAGUUCACCACUUCUUAUCUUUAAAACUCACAUCGAUCCAUUAUCUAUUACAGAAAAUACGGUUUGUUCCACUUUUACGUAGCUUUGAUCUACUAGGGUUGGUUGAUGGUGUUGAUGUUUGCCCCUUCUCUACUACUACCUCGGAUGAACCAAAUCCACUUCAUGCUACAUGGAUAUGUAAGGAUCAAUAUCUCAUGAGUUGGAUCAUUAUCUCUCUCUCUCUGA
RNAcentral lists this long non-coding RNA (291 nucleotides) under Elaeis guineensis (African oil palm). RNAcentral's name for it is "long non-coding RNA (EGUI_LNC027997)". The record is from RNAcentral. Lineage: Eukaryota; Viridiplantae; Streptophyta; Magnoliopsida; Arecales; Arecaceae.